AUUGAACGCUGGCGGCAUGCUUUACACAUGCAAGUCGAACGGCAGCGCGGGGCCACCUGGCGGCGAGUGGCGAACGGGUGCGUAAUACAUCGGAACGUACCCAGAAGUGGGGGAUAACGUAGCGAAAGUUACGCUAAUACCGCAUACGUUCUACGGAAGAAAGUGGGGGACCUUCGGGCCUCAUGCUUUUGGAGCGGCCGAUGUCUGAUUAGCUAGUUGGUGAGGUAAAGGCUCACCAAGGCGACGAUCAGUAGCUGGUCUGAGAGGACGACCAGCCACACUGGGACUGAGACACGGCCCAGACUCCUACGGGAGGCAGCAGUGGGGAAUUUUGGACAAUGGGCGCAAGCCUGAUCCAGCAAUGCCGCGUGAGUGAAGAAGGCCUUCGGGUUGUAAAGCUCUUUUGUCAGGGAAGAAACGGCUGAGGAUAAUACCUUCGGCUAAUGACGGUACCUGAAGAAUAAGCACCGGCUAACUACGUG
Molecule: ribosomal RNA, 482 nt
Filed under: uncultured bacterium
Lineage: Bacteria
Description: partial 16S ribosomal RNA
Rfam family: Bacterial small subunit ribosomal RNA
Source: RNAcentral